CAAUACGCAAUCGUUAUUCCGUAAAUAAAUUUCCAAACUGAUAAAACUGGCAUUAUUUGCGGUGAACUUUGCUGCCAAGACAAUGUAAAUUAUCGAACGAUCUUUCAACCUCCAGACAUUGUAUAGUUGAACUGAUUUCUGUUCAAGUAUACUUUCAUUCCAAUAAGGGGAAUGCUUCGUUGAAAUUGUCAAAGAGUUUUCCGGUGAUAGACUCGUCUUGAAAAAGACGAACUCUUCGAGGGAGUCGAUUUUCACGUCACGAGGGAUUCUUUGAAGAAAAUACAAUUUCGUCAGGUCAAAGAGGAUCACUUCGUUGAGGGAUGGUCAAAGAGUUUUCUGGUGUCAUAUUCAUCUUGCAAGAGCUAGUCUUUUUAAGCCACACGGUUUUCACGUCACCAACAGGGAUUCUUCAAAGAAAAUACAAUCUCGUCGGGUCAAAGAUGCAACAACAUUUGAGUGAAAGGCAACGAUGAUGGUAGAAACAAAAAAGAAUUGUUAAGCAUUCAACCGUUAUUAUUCCGAAUUCCGUCUGGAGACAUUCGCAAUAUACCAAAUAUUGAAAAUUAAUUUAUGUGCGAGCAUGUGCAUUAUAGAAAUAAUUUCCACGUUCAAUUGUUGUGAAUAAUCUUGCAAUUUUGGCCACUACCCGGGUAGCUGUUGACAAAUCUUCGUUCUCGACUCCCGAGCUCCAUGGUAAUUCGAAAAUGUUAUUCAGAAGAUAACUAUAAUUCAAAUUUCACAUUGCUAAUCCAUUUUUACGAUGUUUUAUUGCCAUCAAAGAUUUUUUAAACUCGAAUUUUUCAAAUUCUGCGCGUUAACGUAUUUACGCGAACUCUGCGGUUUCCAUUUUCCAGAUUGAAUGGAUUCAACUUCAAGACUAUACUUUGAAUAAUCUAGCUUUAAUAUGCCACCAAAGCAGAAAAAUGAAUUUUCACUUCCGUGCAAUGUUAUAAUGGUUUUUGUUAUAUCUCGCUUUCAACGAAAUUUCUUGCGACAGCUCAAAUUUCGGCGUUGAAAAGUUUGAGUAAAAAAAUAAAAAAAAAAUUACAUGACUGCUAUAAAUUUGGAGUAUUAUCAAGCCAGCAUCGAAUUCACUUCAGAACUUUUUCAACUCCCUAUGAAUUAUGACGUUCAUUUCUGCCUAUGAAUAUCAAGUGUGUUGCGGCUAGAAAAAAUCUACGAGAUUAUAUUUUAUUUAUCUUUAUUAUAAGAAUUAAUAUUUGUAAAAAAAGCUUGUGAUAAAGAGUGACCACUAUUCGAUCUUUAAGCUAAA
This 1273-nucleotide long non-coding RNA is filed under the name Venturia canescens. RNAcentral describes it as "uncharacterized LOC122412077, transcript variant X2". The record is from RNAcentral. Lineage: Eukaryota; Metazoa; Arthropoda; Insecta; Hymenoptera; Ichneumonidae.